AGCCACACAAGCUUCAUAGAGGUUCUCAGUGGGUAGGGUUGCUUCAUCCAUCCAUCCAGAAAGUAAGGCCCUCACUAACGCACCUCCCUAUAUCCAAGAUGCCACUUCUGCCCCCAGCACAAAAUGAGUUAGGCCUUGUAAGGCAGCACUCCGAAUGGAACCAUCCCCUCCCCCAAGGUGCCGGAAUGGGAGAGAGAGCAAAAGAGAAAAACCUGGCCGAUACUGGGGCUGCUAAGAAACCCCACCUGGUACAUCAACCACAGAAGGCCUCAGUUGCUUUAUAAUGUUGGUGUGAGAACGUAAGGUCAGACCCUCAUGAUUUCUUGCCUGGGCCAGAAGAAUUCCCUCUGAAGUGUCUAGCGUCUCGUCAUCAGUCCUUCUCCGGAUCCAUUCUUCAUCCUGCUGUCCACCGUCUUCCCAAACCACAGAUAGCUCCCAAUCACGCUCCAGCUCAAAAGUCUGCACCAGCUCCUCAUCUACUCGGUUCCUGAGAAUGUCUCCAUCUCCCAGAUCAAUGCAGUCCUCGGUGCUUAAAAGGAGGAUGUCUGGAUGGAUUUACCUCUGCUUGAAGGGAAACAAAACUCCUGGAACUUCGGCCAAGGCCCCAAAUGUGAGAAGCAUCUAUGGGAGCAAAGGUAGCUCUGCAGCGUGAUGGCGGUGCCCCUCCUAGCACGACAAUGCCACAACUUUUAAUAAAGAAGAUCAACUUUCAAACAAAGUUGAAACAAACAAACCCUCCUGUUUGAAGUUGCUUAAUAAAAAUUCCUCUAAAUACCAAUCCCAGCAAAGAAAACAGAGAGGACAACCUGAGGGAAUGGGGAUCAUUUCUCCCUGAGCAGUGACCAAGUUGCUGAGUGUCAAAAUGAGAAGCCAAGAAAACACCAGGUGAAGAAAGAAUCCUGGUUGGUAACGCUCACAUCGAUGUGGCUAAAAAGGCAGUGUGGUCCUGAAUAUUUGGCCUUCAUUUGGAAUUUCCUUGUUUUGGUGAAUUUAAGUCCUUAGCAUUAAUGUCAUGCAGUUAUUUUUGUAUGGUUUAUUUUCUUUUUCUUUUGGUCAUUCAAUAUUCAAAACAACAUAAAACGUACAUUCUUCUUCACACGGAGAGUGAAUUCAGCACCAACUCAAGCACAUAAUUCUUCCCGGCAUGGAAGGAGAUGCUGGACAUCUGCUCACCCCGGAUCUACAAAACAAUGUGGUACACGAGGUAACUCAGGGAGGAAGUCUCUUAUGAGGCUCCUCACGUCACACAUCUGAGCAGAGAGGCAAAAAUACAAGUCACAUCAGAGGUAAAGGACCUAGAAUUAGCUUAGUUGUUGUUGUUUUUUAAUCUGUUUGCUAUUUGUCUGUCCCCUUGAGAUUGAAGGCUGCAAGAGACC
This is a long non-coding RNA of Canis lupus familiaris (dog), 1376 nucleotides long. RefSeq lists it as uncharacterized. The record is from RefSeq and is a predicted model, not a curated record. NCBI's taxonomy places the organism in Eukaryota, Metazoa, Chordata, Mammalia, Carnivora, Canidae. The transcript is spliced from 3 exons.